Molecule: ribosomal RNA, 496 nt
Filed under: uncultured bacterium
Lineage: Bacteria
Description: bacterial SSU rRNA
Rfam family: Bacterial small subunit ribosomal RNA
Source: RNAcentral
UAGUCCACGCCGUAAACGAUGAGUGCUAGGUGUUGCGGGUAUUGACCCCUGCAGUGCCACAGCUAACGCAUUAAGCACUCCGCCUGGGGAGUGCGGUCGCAAGAUUAAAACUCAAAGGAAUUGACGGGGACCCGCACAAGCGGUGGAGCAUGUGGUUUAAUUCGACGCAACGCGCAAAACCUUACCUGGAUUUAAACUGGUGUGGACCGGUAUAGAGAUAUACUUUCCCUUCGGGGCUGCAUUAGAGGUGCUGCAUGGCUGUCGUCAGCUCGUGUCGUGAGAUGUUGGGUUAAGUCCCGCAACGAGCGCAACCCUCACUGUUAGUUGCCAGCAUUUAGUUGGGCACUCUAGCAGAACUGCCGGUGCUAAGCCGGAGGAAGGUGGGGAUGACGUCAAGUCCUCAUGGCCCUUACGGGUAGGGCUACACACGUGCUACAAUGGCGCUGACAGAGGGUUAAUCCCUAAAAGGCGUCUCAGUUCGGAUUGUCUUCUGCAA